Molecule: ribosomal RNA, 300 nt
Filed under: uncultured Solirubrobacterales bacterium
Lineage: Bacteria; Bacillati; Actinomycetota; Thermoleophilia; Solirubrobacterales
Description: bacterial SSU rRNA
Rfam family: Bacterial small subunit ribosomal RNA
Source: RNAcentral
CACGUGGGUUACCUGCCUCGAUGACCGGGACAACCCGAGGAAACUCGGGCUAAUACCGGAUGUGCCCGCAAGGGGAAAGGAAGCUUCGGCCUCCGCAUCGAGAUGGGCCCGCGGCCCAUUAGCUUGUUGGUGAGGUAACGGCUCACCAAGGCUUCGAUGGGUAGCUGGUCUGAGAGGACGAUCAGCCACACUGGGACUGAGACACGGCCCAGACUCCUACGGGAGGCAGCAGUGGGGAAUCUUGCGCAAUGCGCGAAAGCGUGACGCAGCAACGCCGCGUGGGGGAAGAAGGCUUUCGGG